This 468-nucleotide ribosomal RNA is filed under the name uncultured bacterium. RNAcentral describes it as "partial 16S ribosomal RNA". It matches the Rfam family "Bacterial small subunit ribosomal RNA", at positions 28 to 507 of the family's 1533-position model. The record is from RNAcentral.
GACGAACGCUGGCGGCGUGCUUAACACAUGCAAGUCGAACGGAAAGGCCCUGCUUUUGUGGGGUGCUCGAGUGGCGAACGGGUGAGUAACACGUGAGUAACCUGCCCUUGACUUUGGGAUAACUUCAGGAAACUGGGGCUAAUACCGGAUAGGAGCUCCUGCUGCAUGGUGGGGGUUGGAAAGUUUCGGCGGUUGGGGAUGGACUCGCGGCUUAUCAGCUUGUUGGUGGGGUAGUGGCUUACCAAGGCUUUGACGGGUAGGCGGCCUGAGAGGGUGACCGGCCACAUUGGGACUGCGAUACGGCCCAGACUCCUACGGGAGGCAGCAGUGGGGAAUAUUGCACAAUGGGCGGAAGCCUGAUGCAGCAACGCCGCGUGCGGGAUGACGGCCUUCGGGUUGUAAACCGCUUUCGCCUGUGACGAAGCGUGAGUGACGGUAAUGGGUAAAGAAGCAACGGCUAACUACGUG